GACGAACGCUGGCGGCGUGCUUAACACAUGCAAGUCAAGCGGAAAGGCCCUUUCGGGGGUACUCGAGCGGCGAACGGGUGAGUAACACGUGAGCAACCUGCCCUUCACUUUGGGAUAACCAUCGGAAACGGUGGCUAAUACCGGAUACGACGCUCCACCGUAUGGUGUGGGUGUGGAAAGUUUUUCGGUGGGGGAUGGGCUCGCGGCCUAUCAGCUUGUUGGGGGGGUGAUGGCCUACCAAGGCGAUGACGGGUAGCCGGCCUGAGAGGGCGACCGGCCACACUGGGACUGAGACACGGCCCAGACUCCUACGGGAGGCAGCAGUGGGGAAUAUUGCGCAAUGGGCGAAAGUCUGACGCAGCGACGCCGCGUGAGGGAUGACGGCCUUCGGGUUGUAAACCUCUUUCAGCAGGGACGAAGCGAUAGUGACGGUACCUGCAGAAGAAGCACCGGCCAACUACGUGCCAGCAGCCGCGGUAA
Molecule: ribosomal RNA, 480 nt
Filed under: uncultured bacterium
Lineage: Bacteria
Description: partial 16S ribosomal RNA
Rfam family: Bacterial small subunit ribosomal RNA
Source: RNAcentral